AGCUUUGCGCAGUGGCAGUAUCGUAGCCAAUGAGGUUUAUCCGAGGCGCGAUUAUUGCUAAUUGAAAACUUUUCCCAAGACGAUUUUCUGGUUUGGUGGAAAUAUUCUAUAUCCAGUCAUUGCAGAAAGGAUGAUGAUCC
Molecule: small nuclear RNA, 140 nt
Organism: Panthera leo (lion)
Lineage: Eukaryota; Metazoa; Chordata; Mammalia; Carnivora; Felidae
Gene: U4
Rfam family: U4 spliceosomal RNA
About the family: U4 small nuclear RNA (U4 snRNA) is a component of the major U2-dependent spliceosome. The structure of U4 snRNA from yeast and human has been reported.
Source: Ensembl